This is a long non-coding RNA of Vespa velutina, 1788 nucleotides long. RefSeq lists it as uncharacterized. Lineage: Eukaryota; Metazoa; Arthropoda; Insecta; Hymenoptera; Vespidae. The transcript has 3 exons. The record is from RefSeq and is a predicted model, not a curated record.
GUACCAUCUGGACGUUGACUGGCUGGAAUAAAUGUUCCACCUAUGAGACAAAUAAAAGAUACAAUGUUCAAAAGAAUCAUAAAUUUGAUUUAACUAAUGAGAACAUAAAUUUAAUGUUUUAAACUCUUAUUAAAUUGUUUAUUAAAUUUGUUGGGAAGAACUAACAUUAAUUAAAAAAUACAAAAUUAAAAUUAAAAGAAAUUUGCACAUUGGAUAAAUAACAAUAUACAAGAUUAUGUAGAUAAACUGUAAAAAUUUUUGAGGUUAAAAGCAACAAGUUUUAUAAAAAAAAAAAAAAAUUAUAUAGAAAGAAAUAGAAAAAAUUGUUGAGGUUACAAGCAAGAGGCUUUGUAAAAUAUAAUAUGAAAAUUUAAUAAUAUAUAAAAAAAAACAUAAUUACCUUGUUCAUCCUUUAUAUAAGUAGACGCCAUGAUUAUUCAACACGAUUGGUAGUGUGUGUUCAAACUAUUUUUAUUAUAAUUCUAAAAACUUCCUACUAUCCUCAUGUUAUGAUAUAACUGUAUUUAUUGUAACCACUGAUUUGGUGUAUGUGAGGUUUUUUUGAGGACUCGUACGUCAAUGUAUUUCCUCAAAUUCUGUUUACAUAGGUCCGAGAUCUCUUACGGUAUAUAACAGUAGUAAUAUACUAUAAUAUUGUACAGAGCUGUUUUUAUACCAAUAAAAACGGCAGUAUUAUAUAUAAUCUGAUAAUUUAUGAUAGCAUAACAUAAUUAUCAUAACCUGAUAAUUGAAAAAUUUUUAUGAAAGAACGUUAUAUAUAUAUCAUGUAUUGGCAUUUUUAAAUUAUAUAUUUUCGAUCGUACAAAUGGAGGUUAUUUUUUAUCAUUUAUCUCGAAUUUGAAUGGUCGAUAAUAACAUUUAAACAACUAAUAUCGAUUAUCUCGAUCUCACGAAAAUCGUCCGGCAAAGUAAAAAAUUUCUUAUAAAUUUACAAAGAUCUCUAACAAAUUUUUAAUUAUCUCAAUCAUACGCGAUUAAUUAUUAAGAAAAAUCUAAAUUGUUUGUAUAUGCGUAUUAAAUUAUAACAUUUUUAAUGAUACAUAAUCUAAUGUUUAAAUAAUUUUUACAUUAAGUCUGUUCAUCAUCCUUAAUUUUACAAUGAUUUACGCUAACAAUGAGUACAGGCUUAGUUCUUGAACAAUUUUGAUGAACAAAAUUUUAUUAUAUACAAAUGAAGAUUCAAGCAAGGGACAUGGUUUUUUCGAACUUAAAAAAACUUUAGUUUGAUUUUACUUGGGUGGAGCGAUUUUCAAAAUGUCCAUUCCAGAUUUUCAGUUCCUUCGUUCUCACUCUUGAUUUCUCAUCGAACGACCGAUCAAUUUUACGUUAUGUAUCACAUAAAACAUUACAUAGAAUCUAAAACAAUGUCUACAACCGAAAGAUUUUCUCCUAAUGCAUAUGAUAUUCAGGAGGAAAAUGAUCACUAUGACUUGGUUCUAAGUUAAAAAAUAAUUAUUCUUGCAAAGCAAAUUAUUAUGCGUUUUAAUAUAAUAACCAAACCAAAAUUGUUCUAAUAAACAAGUACCUGAAAUAAAGAAUGUAUCAUGUGCAUCUCGUGCAGGAUGCUGUUGUGGUUGGAACAAGGCAUCAAAAUUCCAAAAUGAGCUUUCAACGUAAUUAUUUGUAGGCAUCUCUGUAAAUCUGAAAAAUAUAAUGUCAAAUUUUAUUUUUUUUUGUGUCUUUUAAAUAUAUGCAUUGAUAUAAUAAUUAAAAUAUUGAAAGUUAACAUAUAUAUAUCAUAAUUUUAUUUUGUAAACAAAUAUUUGU